GUCUUAACUGACGCUGAGGCACGAAAGCGUGGGGAGCAAACAGGAUUAGAUACCCUGGUAGUCCACGCCGUAAACGAUGAGUACUAAGUGUUGGGUUAAACCAGUGCUGAAGUUAACACAUUAAGUACUCCGCCUGAGUAGUACGUACGCAAGUAUGAAACUUAAAGGAAUUGACGGGACUCCGCACAAGCGGUGGAUCAUGUUGUUUAAUUCGAAGAUACACGAAAAACCUUACCAGGUCUUGACAUACUCUGCAAAGCUAUAGAAAUAUAGUGGAGGUUAUCAGGGAUACAGGUGGUACAUGGUUGUCGUCAGCUCGUGUCGUGAGAUGUUGGGUUAAGUCCCGCAACGAGCGCAACCCUUAUCACUAGUUACCAUCAUUUAGUUGGGCACUUUAGUGAGACUGCCAAUGAUAAAUUGGAGGAAGGUGGGGAUUACGUCAAAUCAUCAUGCCCCUUAUGACCUGGGCUACAAACGUGAUACAAUGGCUGUUACAAAG
RNAcentral lists this ribosomal RNA (499 nucleotides) under Candidatus Phytoplasma prunorum. RNAcentral describes it as "bacterial SSU rRNA". It matches the Rfam family "Bacterial small subunit ribosomal RNA", at positions 733 to 1244 of the family's 1533-position model. The record is from RNAcentral. Lineage: Bacteria; Bacillati; Mycoplasmatota; Mollicutes; Acholeplasmatales; Acholeplasmataceae.